This 27-nucleotide small RNA is filed under the name Bombyx mori (domestic silkworm). RNAcentral's name for it is "ovarian small RNA-38422". Lineage: Eukaryota; Metazoa; Arthropoda; Insecta; Lepidoptera; Bombycidae. The record is from RNAcentral.
UUUGUAAUGAGGAGGACGAUCAGUGCU